UGGGAGACCCGAUGCGAGGUUUUUUAUUAUUAUUUCAAAGGAAAGGUUUCCCGGAAUGUCCUAGAGACACUCCCGAAAAUAUAUGCUUCAGUUUGGUUAAUACUAGUUAACUAAAUUAAUGUUGCAAUCCGAUAGUCUUACUUAGAAUUACUAGCAAUAUGUUUAGAUUCCGUCUAUAUUUUCUUCUGUUCAUUUCGCCCUCAUCUUAUUGUCUAUUUCUAGCAGCUGUAACCUCCUCCCACUACUGCUCCCAUUGUAUGAUUGAUUGAUUUACAGAGAUUUGAAGAGGAGACAGUAUUGAUGCUUUUGAACUUUUGUGUUGGGAAAGAUUUCUGAGAAUUCCUGGAUAGUGAAGGAAAAAAAUUAUCACUGAACAAAUCAACCCAGAAUGGUCACUCCAGGUGCAAGUGACUAGGUUCUUGUUUUGGACAUAUUAUGCUAAGACCUAGUCUCUGGAAAAGGUUCCAAUGCUGGAAAAAGAUGGAAAGAAAGAACAACCAGCUGCAAAGGGAAUGGAUUUAGUUACAGUGGCAAUGGGAGCACCAUGGAAAGACCUGAAGAACCACAGUGGGGACAGAUCCUUAUGGAGAAAAAUCUUUCAGUGGUUACUAAGAGUCUUCGCUGACAUGAUGAUACAUAAUCAAAGAACUGCAACCAAUUCUGGGCACAUAAUAGAGAUAUAUCUGCCAUGGAUUGGAAUAAUUUCAUACACUAAGCCGGAUGACUAAUUCUAUAUAAGCAUUCUGUUCUCUAGACCAGAUGGAUAGAUGAAGACAUUGAGUUUUCUUAAAGGUAGGAGCCUGUUAAAAUUUUCUUAAGUAUAUAGCCAGUCAUAGAGGGUUAAAUGCCUAUUAUACUUUAUAUCACUCUUAUUUCCAAGAUUUGUUGCUCUGUGCUAUGGUUAGGAAACCAUCAAUGAUUGUGGAAAUCAAUAGCUCAAAUGAAAAUAAAGGAUACACAAUUCAAUCAUUUAAAAAGGAAUUCCAGUUAAUGGGCUUUAGAAAGAUACAAAUCAUUUCUUCCCUUGCCAAGAAAACUGCAGGGAUUUGUCUAGUCAGUCUCCAAGAAUUUAGGAUUGCAGCCAUGAGAAGAGAGAGACAAAUGACCUAGAGCCAGAGGACUGUUCACUAAUUCAGAGUAAUGAGACACAUCUUGGAAUGUUUUGUGUUAUAACAUGAGGUGGAUUUAUUUCAGAUGUUUUAAUCCUACACUAUGCAAUAUUAUCCUAGCUGCCAUUGAAUAUGUAGUUAUGCUUAACUGCAUUUUUUACUCCUAUCUCGCCAGUUAGACCACUCUAAACAGUGGCACUUGGUGGCAGCACUGAGGCUGGGCCUGAGGCUGAGGCCCAGGCCUCAGCUUCAGCCCAAGUGCCACCAGCAGAUGCACAAGCUUUGGGGAAUGGUGCAAAUUCCCCUGUGUCUCAAUGGUCCCUAGGUUAUGCUGUGUGCUACUUAUCUUCAGACAGUGUGCUCUUAAACUAUGGAAAGCAUGCUUUGUUCCCAUGUGAUUUUCAGAGGCUCCAGAGGCCAUGCAAGAGCACGGCCCUCUCACACAACUUCUGGAGGCUGUAUGAGAGCACACCCCAUUCUUGUGUAGCCUCUGCAUCUUCCAAAAAUGGCAUGAAAAUGUGGCAUGCUUUCAAGAAUAGUUGUUGUUGGGUGUUGGUGAAUCCUGGUAUAUAAUCCAAAAUGUGGCUUGUGACUUUUGACAUACAUCAUAGGUUCCCCAUCACUGGUUUAGUUUAUCAUAUGUACCAAAAUAAUUCUUCCAUUAACAUUUAUCUAAACCAUAGACCUAAAAAUCUUGAAGUAAUCCAUAUAUUUUAUUCACCAAAACCAGAUAAUUCUUGGAUUACUUCAUUGUUUCUGCUAAGUAUCUUUGCUAUUUGCUAAUGUAGCAAAAGAAUUUCUUUUCUGCAUUCUGUGUGCAUUGUUGCUUUCAGUAUAAUCCCAGUGUAUCUUGCUAUUCCCUUCUGUAUUUGCAAAAUGCAUGUUUUUACUGUCUCCUUUUCUGUUCCUGUUAGAUCUUUGAUUAUUCAUCAUUUAAACAAAUGCAUUUUCUCUGAAGUGCCUGAUCAGUCUCUGAAAGACCCGAGAAUUUUGUACCUCUGCAGCAGUUUCAAUACUGCAUUUCUAAAAGUUUUUAAAAACUUUAGUUUAAAAAUAAAACGUUGCUGUUUUGCUACAAAUAGCAAAAUGAUCAAAGGGUUAUUAAAUCCAUAUUAUACCAUAGCCAGAUAAGCACUGGAUCCUUAUCACUGAAGAAUUCUAGAUAUUGCUGAAUUAUAGCUGCACAGUGCUAGAUCUAAUUGAAUGAAGGUGAUAGAACAUGUACUAAUUUCUGCAACUGUGAAUAUCUGUAUAACUAAAAUCAAAGUUAUAGUUUCUAAAAAUAUAAAACAUGCUCAUUUACCAUCAAUUGAAGUACUAAAAAUUGAAUUUGAGGGUUUAUGGAGUGGGAAGUUACACAGUUCAGUGGCUACUGUAUACUGAUUCUGCUGGUAGAUUAAUAGAACAUACCACACAUUUUAUCACCCUUGAUGACAGAAAAAGUUCCACUAUAGCUAGUUAGAUCUCAUCUGAUUUCCACUGGAGAUAUGUAAGAAGUCAAGGGAAAUUCUAGGUGAUGAUUUGGAAAUUUUCAGAAACAUAGCCAUUUAAGAAGAGAAGACAGUCACAGUGUAAAAUCAGUGUUCCUGUUUCAAACAAACAUGCUUCAUUUGUUCUUUAUAUAACAACUCUUUCUGGACUUUCAAAAAAUAAUGUUAAGCCAUCAUCAAAAUUAGAGCCAGUUUGGUGUAGUAGUUAAGGCCUAGUCCUGCCUUAGGCAUAAAAACUGAUUUGGUGAUUUUGAGCCAGUCAUGCUCUCUU
Crotalus tigris (Tiger rattlesnake) is the source of this 2870-nucleotide long non-coding RNA. RefSeq lists it as uncharacterized. The record is from RefSeq and is a predicted model, not a curated record. NCBI's taxonomy places the organism in Eukaryota, Metazoa, Chordata, Lepidosauria, Squamata, Viperidae. The transcript is spliced from 3 exons.